GCUGACUUAGUGGCUGCAACCCGAAGCUUCAGACUACAGGAGGGGUUCCCUACCACGGCGGGAUUCUUUCCUUGACUGCAGGACACCCAGAGAAGGGAAACCUGAGCAGGACCUGGAGGUCAACCUGAGAUGAAGUCCGGGGUAACCAAGGCAGCUCCAGUUCAAAGGACAGUACAGAGAAAAGAGAAACCCAGAGAUGGGCAGUGGCUCCUCUUCCUCACGCAUCCACGGAACACGUGACAGCACGUGACACAAAGCUGCACUGUCCAGGUUCAAGCAUUCUGAGGAUACAAGCCACACUCGGCAACUUUCACAGGCACAAGGAGCCACCAGAACACAAAAAGCAGUUGCUUAAUGUCUUUGGUAACUUUCCUUCUGAGUGUUGGAGCAGAAGGGACUUCCUGAUCAAACCAGCCUGGAAUAGAGGUGGCUGCCACGUUGAGCAACCUGGAGAAACAGCCAAAUGACCUUAACGACCCACCACAAAAGCCGACCUCUGUCAACCGUAACACUCGGCUUUAAAGGCCGACUGCCUCGUGGCUUCUCUAACAUCUCACUUGCUUACCCGCCCCACCCUGUGGAUCUGGAGUAUAAACUGAAGAUGCAAGCUGGACCCAGUACCGGAGCCUUUCAGGAGUGCCCUGGCUUCAGUCCACCAGUGAGAUCUCUCUUCCACUCUCACUGGUCUCCGAGUGCUUAUUCCAGAAAGAGUCUACAACAAAGUCUCUCCUGAGAUCUUGAAUGGGCAAAUAACUUGGUUUUGGACUGGCGGACAGGAACUUUGGCAUGAGCAGCCAUCCGCAUUGAGGCCUUACAGGGGUAAAAGGAAGUGUCUUUGAAUAUGCCUCCAAUCCCACGGGAGAUCUGAACCAGUGGUCAUCUGUUCUCUGGCUGCUAGGCAAGAGGUUAGUGCCCUGAGGAUAAGACGUGAAGAACACUGAAUGGGCUAGCUCAAGGCCAGCUAUGAUCCAGAUGAGCCUGCUCAAGGACCCCAAAAUAGAUUUAAGAGCUACUAGGUUUCGAAAGCUUAUGCCAUUCCCAGUGAACCGUGUCUCAUGAAGGUGUCAGCUCUCAGCUACAGCCCCAGCACCAUGCCUGCCUGCCGUCGUGCUCCCACCAUGAUGGUCAUGGACUUUCCCUUUCUUAUCUAAGUUGUCUUGCUUGGUCUCAGUGCUUUGUCACAGCAGUAGAAAAGUAAGGCAGACUACUUGCAUUUAUUUUUAUCAUCAAAAUUUUUGUUUUACUAUAAAGUGUCCAUGCUUCAAUUAAUGUCUAUAUGUUUUGUAGGUAGUAUACUUAAAGACCUUCCUGAGGUUUCUUUUUUUUUUUCUUUUCCAGAUAAUUCACUGUUAGUCUCUACCAAAGCUAUCAAUUUUUCUAUAUUGACUUUCUAACCUUUCUUUAACAGAAUACUUGGGGGUGUCUUAUCUAGAGCAUACUUGUCAUCUUCCAAUAGUAAGAAUUUUACUUCUCCUUUUUCUUUCUUUCUUUCUUUCUUUUUUUUUUUUU
Molecule: small RNA, 1509 nt
Filed under: Rattus norvegicus (Norway rat)
Lineage: Eukaryota; Metazoa; Chordata; Mammalia; Rodentia; Muridae
Description: uncharacterized LOC108348525
Source: RNAcentral